GGAUCCCCCAGGAUGCGCCGGGAUUUGGGCCAGGAUCUGCUGGGAUCUGCCGGGAUUUGGGUCGGGAUUGGCCGGGAUUUGGGCUGGGAUCAGCUGGGAUCCGUUGGAAUUUGGGUCGGGAUCUCCGGAAUCCGCUGGGAUUUGAGCUGGGAUCGGUCGGGAUCGGCCGGGAUUUGGAUCAGGAUCAGUUGGGAUUUGGGUCGGGAUCCGCCCGGAUCGGUUUGGAUUGGUUGGGAUUCCCAGGAUCCGUCGGAAUUUGGGCCGGGAUCUGUUGGGAUCGGCCGGGAUAUGUUGGAAUUUGGGUCGGGAUGCGUCGGGAUCAGCCAGGAUUUGGGCCGGGAUCCGUCAGAAUUUGGGUCAGGAUUGGUUGGGAUUGGCCGGGAUCCAUCAGAAUUUGGGCCGGGAUCCGUUGGGAUUCGGGCCGGGAUUUGGGUCGGGAUCUGUCGGAAUUUGGGUCGGGAUCCGUCAGGAUCGGCCAGGAUCUGUCGGGAUUUGGGCCGGGAUCGGUUGAGAUCCGUUGGGAUUUGGGUCCCGAUCCAUCGGGAUCGGUUGGGAUUUGGGUCAGGAUCAGUUGGGAUCAGUCAGGAUCCGCCGGAAUUUGGGCCGGGAUCUGUUGGAUUUUGGGUCAGGACCUGUCGGGAUUCGGUUCGGGAUCUAUCGGGAUUUGGGCCAGGAUCCGUCGGGAUUUGGGUCGGGAUCUGUCGGAUUUUGGGUCGGGAUCCCCGGGAUCCGUCGGGAUUGGCCGGGAUCUGUUGGGAUUCGGUUCGGGACCUGUCGGGAUCCCCAGGAUCCGUCGGGAUCCGUUUUGGGAUCCGUCGGGAUCCCCGGGAUCUGUCGGAUUUUGGGACGGGAUCCCCGGGAUCGGCCAGGACCCGUCGGGAUUCAGUUCGGGAUCCGUCGGGAUCCCCGGGAUCCAUCGGAAUUUGGGUCGGGAUCUGUUGGAAUUCGGCUCGGGAGCCGUCGGGAUCCCCGGGAUCCGUCGGAUUUUGGGUCGGGGUCUGUUGGAAUUCGGCUCGGGAGCCGUCGGGAUUUGGGUCAGGAUCUGUCGGAUUUUGGGUCGGGAUCCCCGGGAUCCGUCAGGAUUUGGGCCGGGAUCCAUCGGAAUUUGGGCCGGGAUUUGUCGGAUUUUGGGUCGGGAUCCGUCAGGAUUUGGAUCGGGAUCCGUCGGGAUUUGGGUCGGGAUCUGUUGGAAUUCGGCUCGGGAUCCGUCGGGAUCAGCCGGGAUCCGUCAGGAUUUGGGCCGGGAUUUGUUGGAUUUUGGGUCGGGAUCCGUCAGGAUUUGGGUCGGGAUCCGUCGGGAUCCGUUGGAAUUUGGGUCCGGAUUGGCUGGCAUUGGUCAGGAUCAGCCGGGAUCCGUCGGGAUUUGGAUUGGGAUCCGUCGGGAUCCCCGGGAUCCAUCGGAAUUUGGGUCGGGGUCUGUUGGAAUUCAGCUCGGGAGCCGUCGGGAUCCCCGGGAUCCAUCGGAAUUUGGGUCGGGAUCCGUUGGAAUUCGGUUCGGGAUCCGUCGGGAUCCCCGGGAUCCGUCGGGAUUUGGGUCGGGAUCCGUCGGGAUCCCCGGGAUCCAUCGGAAUUUGGGUCGGGAUCCGUCGGGACCCGUCGGGACGGGCGGCGCCGGUACCUGCUGGCCUCCUCCCCUCGGUAAUAAUCGGCCGCCUGCUCGUAGUGCGCCACGGCCUGGGGGGAGCCGGAAAUCCGGGAUCAGAGCCCCAAAUCCCGGGAAAAUCCCGGGGAAAUUCCGGGAAAAUCCCAGAAAAAAAUCCGGGAAAAUCCCAGAAAAAAAUCCCCCGGAAAAUCCCCCAAAACACCCGGGAGAAACAGAAUCCAUCCUGGGGAAAGAUCCCGGGAAAAUCCUGGGGAAAAUCCUGGGAAAAAUCCCGGGAAAAUUCUGGGAAAAUCCCGGGAAAGUUCCGGGAAAAUCCCAGAAAAAAACCUGGGAAAAUCCCAAAAAAUCCCCCCCCAAACACCCGGGAGAAACAGGAUCCGCCCUGGGGAAAGAUCCCGGGAAAAUCGUGGGAAAAAUCCAGAAAAAAAUACGGGGAAAUCCCAAAAAAUCCCCCGGAAAAUCCCCCCAAAACACCCG
This 2080-nucleotide long non-coding RNA is filed under the name Chloebia gouldiae (Gouldian finch). RNAcentral describes it as "Erythrura gouldiae (Gouldian finch) lncRNA (ENSEGOG00005017018.1)". Lineage: Eukaryota; Metazoa; Chordata; Aves; Passeriformes; Passeridae. The record is from RNAcentral.